RNAcentral lists this ribosomal RNA (253 nucleotides) under uncultured bacterium. RNAcentral describes it as "partial 16S ribosomal RNA". It matches the Rfam family "Bacterial small subunit ribosomal RNA", at positions 524 to 776 of the family's 1533-position model. The record is from RNAcentral.
UACGGGGGGGGCAAGCGUUGUUCGGAAUUACUGGGCGUAAAGGGCUCGUAGGCGGCCAACUAAGUCGGACGUGAAAUCCCUCGGCUUAACCGGGGAACUGCGUCCGAUACUGGAUGGCUUGAGUUCGGGAGAGGGAUGCGGAAUUCCAGGUGUAGCGGUGAAAUGCGUAGAUAUCUGGAGGAACACCGGUGGCGAAGGCGGCAUCCUGGACCGACACUGACGCUGAGGAGCGAAGGCCAGGGGAGCAAACGGG